RNAcentral lists this unclassified non-coding RNA (260 nucleotides) under Hyaloscypha sp. RNAcentral describes it as "partial contains small subunit ribosomal RNA, internal transcribed spacer 1, and 5.8S ribosomal RNA". The stretch from base 1 to 46 matches the Rfam family "Eukaryotic small subunit ribosomal RNA", at positions 1786 to 1831 of the family's 1831-position model. The record is from RNAcentral. Lineage: Eukaryota; Fungi; Ascomycota; Leotiomycetes; Helotiales; Hyaloscyphaceae.
AAGUCGUAACAAGGUUUCCGUAGGUGAACCUGCGGAAGGAUCAUUAUUGAAAAAGGAGAAGCCCCGUUUUUAUUCCUUCGAGAAACCGAACGGGUUCAAUUCCCACAACCGUGUAUACCUUACCUUUGUUGCUUUGGCAGGCCGCCUCCGGGCGUCGGCUCCGGCUGACUGCGCCUGCCAGAGGACCCAAACUCUGUGUCUAGUAAUGUCUGAGUAAUAUAAAAUAUUUAAAACUUUCAACAACGGAUCUCUUGGUUCUG